Molecule: long non-coding RNA, 1857 nt
Organism: Pieris napi
Lineage: Eukaryota; Metazoa; Arthropoda; Insecta; Lepidoptera; Pieridae
Exons: 2
Source: RefSeq, a predicted model, not a curated record
UCGCACAUCGGCAACAACAGUGUCACAACACAUAAAAAUAAGAAAUUGAGAUAAGUAUCCCUUAAAAAGGGCAAACACAAACUUUAUCGGCUAAAAAAACGUCAUAAUUAUUGUGCUAUUCCUCGCCGAGAGAUGGCAUUUAAUACCCUUUUUCACUGAGCCACUUUCCUACCUUUGGCGGCGUAAACAAUGUCACAUCAAAGUUGAUACGGAGCGGACGUGCUUCUUGUGUGUGUAGUACAGACAUAACCUGCGUAACGACCCUAUUACGUAGGAUAUAAUGAAGAGGAAUUCAAGGAACAAGUUCAUGAUAGAUUUAGUUUUACACAAUGACACUCCAGAAGUAUCCGUUGGCAUAGAUGAAUCUGAAGCGUAUAGAGAAAAUCUCAAUAAUACCAAUAAACUGAAUCUACAAGUUUUAAACAAUUUAGUCUACAACAUAAUAAUUUAGAUAAAGUAGUACGCAAAGAUUUUAUUAAGGAUUAAUUACAUUAUUAAGGGUGGUGAGUGUAAGUAUAGAUUAGAAUGAAGACGAUUUUAUCGCAAAUAGUGUCUAUAGCGUUUAUUAUUGAUCUAGGUAUGCUAAGAAGAAGAUUUGUUUGUAAUAGCCAGGAAGAAAUAACUGAUAUACAAAACGAAAAUUCAUAGAAGGUGGUAAGACAGCUGCAGACUAGAGAGACUAUAAAAAGGAUUGUGAAUCAAAACAGCAACCUUACGCUAAUGAGACAAUGUAUUAGAAUCUUUAAAAAAACUUAAACAUAAGUUUUGUUGCGACAAAGAAAGACCGCUGUGAACUUUGCACAAAUUAUGAAAUUGCCGAAGGUAGUGCAAAAGAAAACUUAAAGCUGAAAUAUUGAAAACAUAUAGAAGAAAAGGGACGUGAUAAAGGAAAUAUCUAUUCUAUUUUGUAGUAGGUGUAUAUGACUUACAAGCUGUUUUGCAGCUACCUCGUGAAAACACCUCAAUUUUUAUUAUAAAUCAAAAUUAAGUUAUUUUAACUUAACGAUUUCACAAUUGAGUACUGAUAGAAACGAAUGUUAUUUCUGGCAUGAAGGGGAAGCUAAUCGUGGGUCCGAUGAAAUCGUGCGUACUAUAAAACAUUGGAAGCAAAACUACGUCUUAUGAUGGUCCAGGUAAUUGCAGUAGCCAAAACAAAAACAGAUUUAUUUUAUCGUUAUAUUAGUUUUUCCUGUGUAAGUAUUAAAAGUAUAUCUCAAGUUUCUGAUAACCGGACAUACACAAAAUGAAGGUGAUGCUGUCCAUUCUACCAUUUAAAAACAUACCGAAAAGGUUAAAAUCUGGGCCUAUUUACGUGCCAAACCAGUACGCUGAAGUGAUCAGGUCAGCGAAGAAAAAAGGAAGACCGUACAACUUGACUAAAAUUCCUGAAUUCCAGCGAUUUUUGUCGUUAAAAACUUUAUCGCAAAAUAUACGCCAUUUUGAUGUUGUAUGAAUAGUUUUAAUAUCUUACUUGUUUCUUAUAUAACUGGUAAUAACUACCUACAAAGAUAUUGUUAAAUAUUAUUUGAUUUACUUAUAAAAAAACAAUAAAAAGUAUUAACAAAUAAAAGUGUUUCAUUUUAUGAAAUUUUUGAUAUUUUUUUCUGAAAAAGUGACACAUUAGAGGAAUUUAAAAGUAAAAAAUAAAUAUAAAAUAGAACAAAUAUCUUUAGAUUUUAAUUUACAUAAAAACCUAAUAGAGCAUUAAAUAAUCUUCUUAAAUAUAUCAUAAGUUCUCCGAUAUGCUUUUCCAGCAAAAAAUAAAUGGAGUUCUAAAUUUAAAAAAUAAAUAAAUCGUCAUUUCCCAAAAACUACAUUUAUUCUGUUGUGACACUCUCGUUGCCGAUGUGCGAUAUA